AGUGAACGCUGGCGGUAGGCCUAACACAUGCCAGUCGAACGGCAGCACAGUAAGAGCUUGCUCUUACGGGUGGCGAGUGGCGGAUGGGUGAGGAAUACAUCGGCAUCUACUUUUUCGUGGGGGAUAACGUAGGGAAACUUACGCUAAUACCGCAUACGACCUACGGGUGAAAGCAGGGGAUCUUCGGACCUUGCGCGAUUGAAUGAGCCGAUGCCGGCUUAGCUAGUUGGCGGGGUAAAGGCCCACCAAGGCGACGAUCCGUAGCUGGUCUGAGAGGAUGAUCGGCCACACGAGAGCUGAGACGCGGUCCAGACUCCUGCGGGAGGCAGCAGUGGGGAAUAUUGGACAAUGGGCGCGAGCCUGAUCCAGCGAUACCGCGUGGGUGAAGGAGGCCUUCGGGUUGUAAAGCCCUUUUGUUGGGAAAGAAAAGCAGCAGGUUAAUACCCCGCUGUUCUGACGGUACCCAAAGAAUAAGCACCGGCUAACUUCGUG
Molecule: ribosomal RNA, 492 nt
Filed under: uncultured bacterium
Lineage: Bacteria
Description: partial 16S ribosomal RNA
Rfam family: Bacterial small subunit ribosomal RNA
Source: RNAcentral